This 330-nucleotide ribosomal RNA is filed under the name uncultured eukaryote. Its description in RNAcentral is "partial 18S ribosomal RNA". It matches the Rfam family "Eukaryotic small subunit ribosomal RNA", at positions 1470 to 1796 of the family's 1831-position model. The record is from RNAcentral.
CCCUUAGAUGUUCUGGGCCGCACGCGUGCUACACUGAUGCAUUCAACGAGUCUAAAACCUGGUCUGAUAGGGCUGGGUAAUCUUUUGAAAGUGCAUCGUGAUUGGGAUAGAUGAUUGCAAUUCUUCAUCUUCAACGAGGAAUGCCUAGUAAACGCAAGUCAUCAGCUUGCAUUGAUUACGUCCCUGCCCUUUGUACACACCGCCCGUCGCUCCUACCGAUUGAAUGAUCCGAUGAAUAUCAUGGAUUGAGAGUACGAAUGGGUUCGCUCAUUUCUGUUGCUCGAGAAGUGAAGUAAAUCUUAUCAUUUAGAGGAAGGAGAAGUCGUAACA